GAUGAACGCUGGCGGCGUGCCUAAUACAUGCAAGUCGAGCGAACAGACGAGGAGCUUGCUCCUCUGACGUUAGCGGCGGACGGGUGAGUAACACGUGGAUAACCUACCUAUAAGACUGGGAUAACUUCGGGAAACCGGAGCUAAUACCGGAUAAUAUUUUGAACCGCAUGGUUCGAUAGUGAAAGACGGUUUUGCUGUCACUUAUAGAUGGAUCCGCGCCGCAUUAGCUAGUUGGUAAGGUAACGGCUUACCAAGGCAACGAUGCGUAGCCGACCUGAGAGGGUGAUCGGCCACACUGGAACUGAGACACGGUCCAGACUCCUACGGGAGGCAGCAGUAGGGAAUCUUCCGCAAUGGGCGAAAGCCUGACGGAGCAACGCCGCGUGAGUGAUGAAGGUCUUCGGAUCGUAAAACUCUGUUAUUAGGGAAGAACAAAUGUGUAAGUAACUAUGCACGUCUUGACGGUACCUAAUCAGAAAGCCACGGCUAACUACGUG
This 497-nucleotide ribosomal RNA is filed under the name uncultured bacterium. RNAcentral's name for it is "partial 16S ribosomal RNA". It matches the Rfam family "Bacterial small subunit ribosomal RNA", at positions 28 to 507 of the family's 1533-position model. The record is from RNAcentral.